This 446-nucleotide ribosomal RNA is filed under the name uncultured bacterium. RNAcentral describes it as "bacterial SSU rRNA". It matches the Rfam family "Bacterial small subunit ribosomal RNA", at positions 329 to 792 of the family's 1533-position model. The record is from RNAcentral.
GACCAGACUCCUACGGGAGGCAGCAGUGGGGGAUAUUGCACAAUGGGGGAAACCCUGAUGCAGCGACGCCGCGUGAGUGAAGAAGUAUUUCGGUAUGUAAAGCUCUAUCAGCAGGGAAGAAAAUGACAGUACCUGACCAAGAAGCCCCGGCUAACUACGUGCCAGCAGCCGCGGUAAUACGUAGGGGGCAAGCGUUAUCCGGAUUUACUGGGUGUAAAGGGAGCGUAGACGGUUAUGUAAGUCUGGAGUGAAAGCCCGGGGCCCAACCCCGGGACUGCUUUGGAAACUGUGUUGCUGGAGUGCUGGAGAGGCAAGCGGAAUUUCUAGUGUAGCGGUGAAAUGCGUAGAUAUUAGGAAGAACACCAGUGGCGAAAGCGGCUCUCUGGUCUGUAACUGACGCUGAGGUUCGAAAGCGUGGGUAGCAAACAGGAUUAGAUACCCCCGUA